Molecule: ribosomal RNA, 202 nt
Filed under: uncultured bacterium
Lineage: Bacteria
Description: partial 16S ribosomal RNA
Rfam family: Bacterial small subunit ribosomal RNA
Source: RNAcentral
UUCGGAUCGGAGUCUGCAACCCGACUCCGUGAAGCUGGAUUCGCUAGUAAUCGCGCAUCAGCCAUGGCGCGGUGAAUACGUUCCCGGGCCUUGUACACACCGCCCGUCCAAGCCAUGGGAGCCGGGGGUGCUUGAAGUGCGUCGCCGCGAGGCGCGCCCUAGAGCAAAACCGGUGACUGGGGCUAAGUCGUAACAAGGUAUC